GGAAUAUGGCUUGUUUAGUGAAAAGCCACUGUGACAUCACAACACAGACUCCAGCAUAUGUCCUCCUUACAGUAGGUCAGAGCUAGUCUAGGUGCACCAGUCACAGGACACUGAGACUCAGGGUGGCAGAUGUCAAGUCCUUCAUUGUUCAGUUUAAGCUCAGAGAAGACUCACAUCCUUGGAUCCCAGACUCUUUGAUGACAGGAAGGCCAAACUAUCUCAAAUAAUCUCAAAUGGAUAAGCAACAACCUCCAAUCUCACAGCACUGGUAAUUGUGGCUCAGAGUUCAUGCAGAUGGAGACAUCAGUGAAAUACCCGCAAUCAGGUUCUGUAUUUUCUCCGUUUGCCGUUCAUCAAAAUGAAAGGUUUUCAUGAAGAGGAUUAAAGGCCACAAAUAAACUAUAUUGUAAUGCUCUCUUUGAAAUAUUUAAGGCAUUUAUUUAAAAAAGGGCAGUUUAAGAUGAAAGGUCAGUCAGUGAUAA
RNAcentral lists this long non-coding RNA (482 nucleotides) under Pan troglodytes (chimpanzee). RNAcentral describes it as "lncRNA (ENSPTRG00000054095.1)". The record is from RNAcentral. Lineage: Eukaryota; Metazoa; Chordata; Mammalia; Primates; Hominidae.